GNNUUCCCUUAGUAACUGCGAGUGAAGAGGGAAGAGCUCAAAUUUAAAAUCUGGCAGUCCNAUCGGAUGCCCGAGUUGUAAGUUAGAGAAGUGCUAUCCGUGCCGGCCUGUGCAAAAGUCCCUUGGAAAAGGGCAUCAUAGAGGGUGACAAUCCCGUCUUUGGCACAGACUACCGGGGCUUUUGUGAUGCGCUCUCGAUGAGUCGAGUUGUUUGGGAAUGCAGCUCCAAAUGGGUGGUAAAUUCCAUCUAAAGCUAAAUAUUGGCGAGAAACCGAUAGCGCACAAGUACCGUGAGGGAAAGAUGAAAAGAACUUUGAAAAGAGAGUCAAACAGUACGUGAAAUUGUUGAAAGGGAAACGCUUGAAGUCAGUCGUGUCCUUUGGAAAUCAACCUCAUCUUUGGUGGGAUGCACUUUCCAUUUGGACAGGUCAGCAUCAAUUUUGACCAUCAGAGAAAGACCUUGGGAAAGUGACAUCUCUUAUGAUGUGUUAUAGACCUAGGCUCAGAUGUGUUGGUUGGGAUUGAGGAACUCGGAUGG
RNAcentral lists this ribosomal RNA (538 nucleotides) under Clavaria parvispora. RNAcentral's name for it is "partial large subunit ribosomal RNA". It matches the Rfam family "Eukaryotic large subunit ribosomal RNA", at positions 72 to 605 of the family's 3401-position model. The record is from RNAcentral. Lineage: Eukaryota; Fungi; Basidiomycota; Agaricomycetes; Agaricales; Clavariaceae.